This is an RNA transcript of Oncorhynchus kisutch (coho salmon), 1268 nucleotides long. It is a transcript of the gene named intraflagellar transport protein 43 homolog B, with no coding region annotated. NCBI's taxonomy places the organism in Eukaryota, Metazoa, Chordata, Actinopteri, Salmoniformes, Salmonidae. The transcript is spliced from 10 exons. The record is from RefSeq and is a predicted model, not a curated record.
CUCCAGGAAGUAGCUAGUCAAGGCAAGAAAAAAUGGACGAUAAUCUUAAACUCGGAGACAGUGGAGUUGUAAAGAAUGUUGCAAAGUUGGGUCGACGGGGUCAACGUACUCGACAGGCUGCAGAGCAAACAUCUCUGGAGGAGCCUCGACACGUCAGGAAAUCCUCUUCUUCUACAUCGAUGGGAGAGGGACCCCCUCCUAAACCAGCCCGCAGGCAGGGCGGAUGGGCUGAAGAGACUUCUGGAUCAGCCAAGUCUGGAAGAAGACCUGCCAUGGUGCAGGACGUGGAAGAUCGACGCCUGCGACCACAAACCCCCCAGGGCUCGGAUGAUGAAGGAGAUAUACCGGUGAUCCCAGACCUUGACGAAGUACAAGAGGAAGACCUUAACAUGCAAGUUGCUGCUCCUCCAAGCAUCCAGGUGAACCGGGUAAUGACAUACAGAGAUCUGGACAAUGACCUCAUGAAGUACUCUGUCUUCCAGACCCUGGACGGUGAGAUUGACUUGAAGCUCCUCACCAAGGUUUUAGCUCCAGAGCAGGAGGUGAGGGAGGAGGACGUGGGUUGGGACUGGGAUCAUCUGUUUACAGAGGUGUCCUCAGAGCUGCUGACGGAAUGGGAUCAAGGAGAGAAGGAGGAGCAGGUCCCGCUGUCUGUGUUAUGAGGACAAGCCUCCCCAAGUUGGGAUAAAGUGGACCAGAACGUCUCCUCUGGGACCUGGGACCACGUGCUGACUGACACAGGCUGACACCGGCAGUCAACGAGGAGGCUCGUGCUCCGAGGCCAUAGACAUUGGCCAUGUUCGAGAGCAUCAAAACCAUAUUAUAAACUGGGUGGUUUGAGCCCUGAAUGCUGAUUGGCUGAAAGCUGGGGUAUAUCAGACUGUAUACCACAGGUACAUUUAUUUUUACUCUUCUAAUUACAUUGGUAACCAGUUUAUAAUAGCAAUAAGGCACUUUGGGGGUUUGUGGUAUAUGGCCAAUAUAACACGGCUAAGGUCUGUAUCCAAGCACUCGUGUUUAAGAACAGCCCUUAGCCAUGGUAUAUUGGCCAUAUACCACACCCCUUCGGGCAUUAUUGCUUAAAUGUAUCAUGGGUAAAUUGUGACUGACUGACUGAUCUACUAAUAUUAAUGAGUGCAUUCUGAUCCAACCGUCAAAUCAUACCCUACCGGUCAAAAUUUUCAGAAUACCAACUCAUUGAAGGGUUUUUCUUUAUUUGUACUAUUUUCAACAUUGUAGAAUAAAAGUGAAGACAUAAAAACUAUGAA